UACGAAGGGGGCUAGCGUUGCUCGGAAUCACUGGGCUUAAAGGGUGCGUAGGCGGGUCUUUAAGUCAGGGGUGAAAUCCUGGAGCUCAACUCCAGAACUGCCUUUGAUACUGAAGAUCUUGAGUUCGGGAGAGGUGAGUGGAACUGCGAGUGUAGAGGUGAAAUUCGUAGAUAUUCGCAAGAACACCAGUGGCGAAGGCGGCUCACUGGCCCGAUACUGACGCUGAGGCACGAAAGCGUGGGGAGCAAACAGG
Molecule: ribosomal RNA, 253 nt
Filed under: uncultured bacterium
Lineage: Bacteria
Description: partial 16S ribosomal RNA
Rfam family: Bacterial small subunit ribosomal RNA
Source: RNAcentral